CCUACGGGUGGCAGCAGUGGGGAAUAUUGCACAAUGGGCGCAAGCCUGAUGCAGCCAUGCCGCGUGUGUGAAGAAGGCCUUCGGGUUGUAAAGCACUUUCAGCGGGGAGGAAGGCGUUAAGGUUAAUAACCUUGUCGAUUGACGUUACCCGCAGAAGAAGCACCGGCUAACUCCGUGCCAGCAGCCGCGGUAAUACGGAGGGUGCAAGCGUUAAUCGGAAUUACUGGGCGUAAAGCGCACGCAGGCGGUCUGUCAAGUCGGAUGUGAAAUCCCCGGGCUCAACCUGGGAACUGCAUUCGAAACUGGCGGGCUAGAGUCUUGUAGAGGGGGGUAGAAUUCCAGGUGUAGCGGUGAAAUGCGUAGAGAGCUGGAGGAAUACCGGUGGCGAAGGCGGCCCCCUGGACAAAGACUGACGCUCAGGUGCGAAAGCGUGGGGAGCAAACAGGAUUAGAUACCCUAGUAGUC
RNAcentral lists this ribosomal RNA (465 nucleotides) under uncultured Klebsiella sp. RNAcentral's name for it is "bacterial SSU rRNA". It matches the Rfam family "Bacterial small subunit ribosomal RNA", at positions 338 to 795 of the family's 1533-position model. Lineage: Bacteria; Pseudomonadati; Pseudomonadota; Gammaproteobacteria; Enterobacterales; Enterobacteriaceae. The record is from RNAcentral.